CUAGUUUUGACAGUUUUUUGACUAGUUUUAACUGGUUGUAGACUAGUUUUAAUUGGUUUUAGACUAGUUUUGACUGGUUUUAAACUAGUUUUGACUGGUUUUAAACUAGUUUUGAUUGUCUUAAGACAAGUUUUGACUGGUCUAAGACUAGCUUUGACUGGUUUAAGACUCGUUUUAGUUGGUUUAAGACUAGUUUUGAUUGGAUUUAGACUAGUUUUGACUGGUUUUAGACUAGUUUUAGAAUAGUUUUGACUGGUUUUAGACUAGUUUUCCAAAACUGAACUGUCUGGCACAUUGAGGAUUUCAAGAAUAAGUCGGAACUCCUUCUGUCUUUUUUCAAAAUAUUCAAAAUUUGGUGUUAAAACAAAGAGAAAAAAGAUUCUACAAUUUUUUUAGUUUUGAAUUGAUCAUAAAUUAUGAUAAAUGGUGUCUAACAUUUAUUUCAAACCUGAUCUCAGUCCAGGACUCACAGCAGCUUUCAAACUUCAGUGAAUUUACACCAGAAAAGCAUCAUGUUGAACCUCAGCUGAAGCAUAUUCACUUUAAACCCUGAGGAGCCUCCAGUAAACCUCUGACAGUUUAAAAAGCAUCAGUGGUGGUUAAACAUCACAGUUAAACCCAACUUUCUUUGCGUUCACAUGAAGAUUUCCUGUCGUUAUGAACAGCGUUUCAGUUUAUUGUUGUGUUAAAACUCUGUGCUAACGGAAACACUCCCUGGAAACAGGGACAACAGGACAAACAUCUGUUUCUGAAGCUGAGCAGUUAAACUUUUGAUUCUCAUUGAAACAGUCCCAUAUUUUCCUGCUAAUUUCCUUGAAACCUUCCUGAAAGUUUCCAGAAACUUAGCUGUAAAUGACAUCUUACUGUGGUGCUAAUCAGAGACGCUCCAGUAAGUAGUUUAUGAUUCAUAUUUACUGAUCAAGAACCGACAUCUUUAGCUGUUCUAGGAAACUCUGAUGUCUGUUGGAGUUUAGCACCAAACUGAGUCGGUUCAUAUUUCUUCUUUUAGGGCUGAACAGCAGCUCGCUUUCAGGAAGUUAUGAGGAACGUUUCCAGAAAUGUGGCUGUAAAAUAAACCAGACAUCUUCACAAUGAUGGAAAAGCUGCUAGCUAAAACCAGACCAGCUGAGCACUCAACCUCCCACAAUGCUUCACUCUAUAGUGCCUGUACUUAAAGUUAGCAGUAAAACUUGUUACCUGUACAAUGUCGUACUGUACGUGUGCAUGAGUGUGAAUGUCAGCGAGAACGACCAUUUUCUUUGCUUCUCAACACACUAGCAACUGAUUUGGGCAACUUUAAUGGUCAACACUGUCUUCAGUUUGAUUCUAUAUCCGACAGACUGCAGUCCCUUAGAGUCCCCAGAUAAUCCAUGUUAACCUUUGAUAGUGCAUUAGGAGGUAAUAGUGCUUUAGAACUGACGCUGUCAUUUUUACUGUAUUUGUUUAGUACUACAGCUCAUUAGCCGCAGAUCAAAUCUGAAGUUUGAACAAAUACUGAAUAUCAGCACUUAAAAUUAAAUACCAGCGACAUGUUAAAGUAUUUAAAGAUUUAUUCCUGAAUUUAAAUAGUAGGUAAAGUCAAAACACACAGCAAAAACAGAAAUAUUCAAACACCUGCUUAUAACUGUAGCAUAUCGCUAAUGUGGAUGCUAACAUAUAUUAGCCUUACCUCGUUGUAGUUUUAGUUAGCUCGCGGGCUCACUAACACAAACAAUUAACUGCCAAAUUAGCGCCAGCUAGAAUAUGAAGCACAAAUGUAGCACACUGACAAUAUACAACAUGUAUUAAUGUGUUUUAAUAGCAGGAGCACCAAGCUACGUUAGCUUUUGCCAUGUAUUUAGAAGCCAAUGACGUCCAGCUGUUUUAACAGUAGCAGAGUUCACUGGCUAGAUGUUGUAGCUAAAGUUAGCUAGUAGUAAAAAAAAAUGGCUGCAGAAGUUUGGACCAUUUUAGGGAAACCUCAACUUCUUUGCAUAGUCACGUGACUCUUGAAUUAAUGAUCUUGAGUCUUGAAUCAUCCCUCCCCAGGUAGUUUAACCACCAUUAACACCAUAAAUCCUUCCUCCCCAGGCAGUUUAACAACAAGCAACACCUUAACUCAUCCCUCCUCAGGUAGUUUUAUAAUACUAACACCUUGAGUAAUCCCUCCUCAGGCAGUUCACCCAGCAUUAGCACCAUACAUCGUCCCUCCCCAGGUAGUUUUAAUAUGCAAAUACCUUAAAUCAUCCAUCUUAAGUUGGUUUCACCUCCAUUAACACCUUAAAUCAUCCCUCCUUAGGCAGUUUUAACACACAAACACCUUGAGUCAUCCCUAACCAGGCAGUUUUAACAUACAAACACCUGAAAUCAUCCAUCUUUAAUUGGUUUCACCUCCAUUAACACCUUGAGUAAUUCCUCCUACCUAGUAAUUCCUCUCCAGGCAGUUUAACCACCAUUAACACCAUACAUCGUCCCUCCCCAGGUAUUUUCACCACAAGCAACACCUUGAAUCAUCCUUCCCCAGGCAGUUUUAACAUACAAACACCUUAAAUCGUCCAUCUUAUGUCGGUUUCACCACCAUUAAUAUCUUGAGUAAUUCCUCCCCAGGCAGUUUCAGCACCAUAAUCGCUUUGAGUCUCUCCUCACCAGGUAGUUUCAGUUACCAGCUUGAGUCGUCCCUCUCUAUGCAGUUUCCCUCUAUAAUACUUUGAGUCGUAGGAAGCGUCCUCUUGGUCGUUCUGUCAGCUGAGUCCUCUCCUUUUUGAGCAGCGAUGCUUUGAUUCUGUUGUAAUAUCACAACUGGCCACCAGGACACGCCCGUGGUCGUAGCUUUAAUGACCACCACUCUUCAGACUGACGCUAAUCUCUGCACUCCUUUUGGUUUGGGUAGAUAAAAGAGGCACAAAUUACAAAUUAGUUUGCACAAAAAAACAGAAAAUAAGAGUUCUUUAUUCACAUAAGUUUAACCUCUUGCUGUGCAGCAGCGCCCCCUGGUGUAUGGACGACAGACUUAUUAGGAGCUCAUAAACGCCAAAUAUGUGAAAUUAGAAGUUUAGAAGAGUUGCUGUUGGUUUGUAAUAAUGCAGACAUCUUCCCACCCUCUAAAACAGUGCAUCCUAUAAUAAUCCACCAUGUCUAAAUAUAAGAUGACUUUUAAAUAAGUUUACUGACAAAUUACAAAGUCCUGCAUGUCCACAUGUCCACGAGUCGCUGGACAGAUUCUGAAGGAAAGUUUCUGCCUGCACCUGGUUUCAGACUAGUUUAGAACUAGUUUAGAUCUAGUUUUGGACAAAUUUUGGACUAGUUUAGAUCUAGUUUUGACUGGUUUCAGACUAGUUUCGAACUAGUUUUGGCUGGUUUCAGACUAGUUUAGAUCUAGUUUUGGACUGGUUUCAGACUAGUUUCGAACUAGUUUUGGCUGGUUUCAGACUAGAUUUAACAAAACUCUACUAGUCCUCUCAUAUUUGAUCACAUAAACACCACUACAUGUGACUUUUGGCCUCAUAUACCACAGAUUUUGUUGUUUUUCUCCAGAAUCCCUUCAACAUUUCCCUCCGUCUCAGUCCUCCCCAGGUUCUGUAGGUUUCUUCCAGUCACCUUGAAAAUGAAACAGCCGGUUAGUUGUCCAACAAACUGCCCAUGUAGCUUCUUCUACGUCGAGGUCGGACUGACAUCUGGAACAUUCCAAGUGGCCGCUGCUGCUGCUGCUGUUUUGUGUGUUUGGUUUUUUAAGAGUAUUUUUCUACAGCUUUUUGUAUGUCACGCUUCUUACAGGGCUGUCGGCGUGUGUGUACAUGUGUGUUGGAGUGUGAACAUGCGGUCAGUGCGUGUUUGUAUGUUAUCUGGUUUCUUCCUCGCUGUUUCAUGAUGACCGAUGGAUCUACAUGCUCUCUGAACAGACUGUAGCCUCUAAUGUUUUUGUGUAAACGGUGAAUAUUUGGUUUGUAUCAUCCUGUAUCGCACCAAUAAAACUAUAUAUACACUCACAC
This is a long non-coding RNA of Amphiprion ocellaris (clown anemonefish), 3968 nucleotides long. The record is from Ensembl. Lineage: Eukaryota; Metazoa; Chordata; Actinopteri; Pomacentridae.